CUUGCUUCUCCGCCGGCGACCGGCCGGCACGGGUGAGUAACACGUAUGCAACCUGCCCCUGUCAGGGGGACAACCCGCCGAAAGGCGGGCUAAACCCGCGUACAUGCCACCGGGGCAUCCCGGAGGCAGGAAAGGCUUCGGCCGGACAGGGAUGGGCAUGCGGCGCAUUAGGCAGUAGGCGGGGUAACGGCCCACCUAACCGACGAUGCGUAGGGGUUCUGAGAGGAAGGUCCCCCACACUGGUACUGAGACACGGACCAGACUCCUACGGGAGGCAGCAG
Molecule: ribosomal RNA, 281 nt
Filed under: uncultured bacterium
Lineage: Bacteria
Description: partial 16S ribosomal RNA
Rfam family: Bacterial small subunit ribosomal RNA
Source: RNAcentral